RNAcentral lists this ribosomal RNA (221 nucleotides) under uncultured Anaerococcus sp. Its description in RNAcentral is "partial 16S ribosomal RNA". It matches the Rfam family "Bacterial small subunit ribosomal RNA", at positions 135 to 355 of the family's 1533-position model. The record is from RNAcentral. Lineage: Bacteria; Bacillati; Bacillota; Tissierellia; Tissierellales; Peptoniphilaceae.
ACAAGGGGAUAGCCGUUGGAAACGACGAAUAAUACCCUAUGACAUAAACUCUUCGCAUGAGGAGCUUAUCAAAGAUUUAUCGGUGUAAGAUGGACUCGCGUCUGAUUAGCUAGUUGGUGAGGUAACGGCCCACCAAGGCGACGAUCAGUAGCCGGCUUGAGAGAGUGUACGGCCACAUUGGGACUGAGACACGGCCCAGACUCCUACGGGAGGCAGCAGUU